Non-coding RNA from Pelobates cultripes (western spadefoot toad), 808 nucleotides. Lineage: Eukaryota; Metazoa; Chordata; Amphibia; Anura; Pelobatidae. The record is from the annotation of a GenBank genome assembly.
GUCGAAGGGACUCAAAUACCGCUGGGGCCCAACACGAGCGCUACUCAUCCAGCAUCAGAACACAGAGAUCAGGGUGACUGAGGCAUCGGAGAUCGAGGCAACUCUGACCACACUGGGUUUGAACCGCACUGCAAUGGCUGCACCGACAGCUUGGGACCCGGCUAACGCUAUCCCGUUCAUCCCGGCGAGUAGGAGUUUACCCAGCCGAGCAAAUACUUGACUCUGGAGACUGCCUUCUCUGUUUCUUUUUGUUUAUUUUAGUUUAAAUCUUGUUUCCUCACCUAUUACGACAUACGGGCCUCAUGGGGCCAGCAUCUUACAGAUGCACAGUUAGCACAGCAUAAGUUUUUUAGUUGUUAUUGUAUUUUCCUUUACUCAGACAACACUUAAAUGCUACGCAUCUACAUAUACAACGCAAGCAGGGAAGGACCGUAACCAUCUUUCCCACCAGACAAGCCUAAAUGAGCCGCGACCGGGAUUAACCCGGGAACACAGGCUCCCUAAAGACCACCAACCCCCCCCCAGCUCCACGCUAGUAUCCACUAACACCCACUCAACCAUGUGGAGCUGCACUCCUACAGCGUCCUGCCCGCUCUAGAGACACACUACUUCUCACUCAUUUUUGCUAAUGUACGGCCAUGCAUGCCCUAGAUAUAUAUUUCCACUACCACUGGAGGCAAGUAUAUGGCAGUAACACGCUACAUUACAAUAAAAAUAAAAACCGCAGGCUACAUUGAUAUCCUACCAACUGCAUGUAAAUGGUUAACCGCAAUGUUAUGCUUUAUUGAAUAUGUCAUACACAAUGUCU